ACGAACGCUGGCGGCGUGCUUAACACAUGCAAGUCGAACGGAAAGGCCCUGCUUUUGUGGGGUGCUCGAGUGGCGAACGGGUGAGUAACACGUGAGUAACCUGCCCUUGACUUUGGGAUAACUUCAGGAAACUGGGGCUAAUACCGGAUAGGAGCUCCUGCUGCAUGGUGGGGGUUGGAAAGUUUCGGCGGUUGGGGAUGGACUCGCGGCUUAUCAGCUUGUUGGUGGGGUAGUGGCUUACCAAGGCUUUGACGGGUAGCCGGCCUGAGAGGGUGACCGGCCACAUUGGGACUGAGAUACGGCCCAGACUCCUACGGGAGGCAGCAGUGGGGAAUAUUGCACAAUGGGCGAAAGCCUGAUGCAGCAACGCCGCGUGCGGGAUGACGGCCUUCGGGUUGUAAACCGCUUUCGCCUGUGACGAAGCGUGAGUGACGGUAAUGGGUAAAGAAGCACCGGCUAACUACGU
This 466-nucleotide ribosomal RNA is filed under the name uncultured bacterium. RNAcentral describes it as "partial 16S ribosomal RNA". It matches the Rfam family "Bacterial small subunit ribosomal RNA", at positions 29 to 506 of the family's 1533-position model. The record is from RNAcentral.